This 117-nucleotide ribosomal RNA is filed under the name Periophthalmus magnuspinnatus. The record is from RNAcentral. Lineage: Eukaryota; Metazoa; Chordata; Actinopteri; Gobiiformes; Gobiidae.
AUAUGGGGCCAUACCUACUUGUCAAUGUCCAAUCUCAUUAGACCUGGGAAGUGAUGCAAGCUUGGGCCUGGUUAGUACUUGGAUGAGAGACCAUGCGGGGCAGCAGUGAUUCUAGUG